Cryptotermes secundus is the source of this 152-nucleotide long non-coding RNA. RefSeq lists it as uncharacterized. The transcript is spliced from 2 exons. Lineage: Eukaryota; Metazoa; Arthropoda; Insecta; Blattodea; Kalotermitidae. The record is from RefSeq and is a predicted model, not a curated record.
UGCUGGUCAGACACCGAUCCGGCUGGUGCUAUACAAGAAGCAUUGGUUGUGGUCACCACAUAUCUCUCUGAAGAGAUUGUGUUUGGUAGCACGAGCUCCCCAGUAAGUAUAAUUUACAGCUGCAUAUUCGAGUAGAGCCGCAAAGACAAAGA